CUAGUCUAUGAAAGGGGAGGAUAGGAGUUCCCUUGACAAAGAUGGAAGAGGCCUUCAGGUCUGACAAUACUCAUAGGGUUAAGGCAUUGCCACCUUCUUAGGGGCAUCUAACCAUCUUUU
Nycticebus coucang (slow loris) is the source of this 120-nucleotide small nuclear RNA. NCBI's taxonomy places the organism in Eukaryota, Metazoa, Chordata, Mammalia, Primates, Lorisidae. The record is from RefSeq and is a predicted model, not a curated record.